GGUGGCUCAGUGGUAGAGUACUUGCCUUACUUGCAUGAGGCCCUGGGUUCGAUUCCUCAGCACCA
This is a non-coding RNA of Dipodomys ordii (Ord's kangaroo rat), 65 nucleotides long. NCBI's taxonomy places the organism in Eukaryota, Metazoa, Chordata, Mammalia, Rodentia, Heteromyidae. The record is from Rfam.